RNAcentral lists this ribosomal RNA (173 nucleotides) under uncultured bacterium. RNAcentral's name for it is "partial 16S ribosomal RNA". It matches the Rfam family "Bacterial small subunit ribosomal RNA", at positions 335 to 525 of the family's 1533-position model. The record is from RNAcentral.
ACUCCUACGGGAGGCAGCAGUGGGGAAUUUUGCGCAGUGGGGGAAACCCUGACGCAGCAACGCCGCGUGGAGGAUGAAGCCCCUUGGGGCGUAAACUCCUUUCGACCAAGACGAUAAUGACGGUACUGGUGGAAGAAGCACCGGCUAACUCUGUGCCAGCAGCCGCGGUAAUA